UAGCUUUCUAGUGAGUUCGAGGAAUAGA
RNAcentral lists this non-coding RNA (28 nucleotides) under Rattus norvegicus (Norway rat). Lineage: Eukaryota; Metazoa; Chordata; Mammalia; Rodentia; Muridae. The record is from RNAcentral.